AAAGCGUGCGCAGGCGGUUAUGUAAGACAGAUGUGAAAUCCCCGGGCUCAACCUGGGAACUGCAUUAGUGACUGCAUAGCUGGAGUACGGCAGAGGGGGAUGGAAUUCCGCGUGUAGCAGUGAAAUGCGUAGAUAUGCGGAGGAACACCGAUGGCGAAGGCAAUCCCCUGGGCCUGUACUGACGCUCAUGCACGAAAGCGUGGGGAGCAAACAGGAUUAGAUACCCGUGU
RNAcentral lists this ribosomal RNA (230 nucleotides) under uncultured bacterium. Its description in RNAcentral is "partial 16S ribosomal RNA". It matches the Rfam family "Bacterial small subunit ribosomal RNA", at positions 562 to 791 of the family's 1533-position model. The record is from RNAcentral.